Molecule: RNA transcript, 2505 nt
Organism: Papaver somniferum (opium poppy)
Lineage: Eukaryota; Viridiplantae; Streptophyta; Magnoliopsida; Ranunculales; Papaveraceae
Gene name: protein PIN-LIKES 7-like
Exons: 4
Source: RefSeq, a predicted model, not a curated record
AUAAAAGUUUGUUAUGUUGUAUGAAUUAUGAUUGUGUUUAUCAUCUGAGUAUUUCAGCAUUACUGUGAAUCUGUGAUAGCUAUAAUUUAGAUAUUAUGAACCUUGAAUUAAUGAAAUGUGAUUAGAGUUCAAGUUGAGUCUGGAGAAGGAUUUCAAUAACAGGGAAAUGUUGGUGGAGAAAAUGAGGAUUUGAAGCUCAUUUUGUGAUUAAAAUUUAUAGAUCAUCUCAAGAGCGCAAGCAGAAAUGGAUGGAAGGUUCUGGGAACUGUUGGAGGAGGAAAGCAUGCCAGUGUUGGAGGUUUUAAUAAUAACUGUUCUUGGAGAUUUCAUGGCAACCAAGCAUUGCAAUCUUCUAUCUGUUGAUGCUCGCAAACACAUGAACAAGAUAUGUUUCGUAGUAUUCUCUCCAGCUCUGGUGUUUGCAAGUCUCUCGAAAACUGUUACACUUCAAGACAUCAUUUCAUGAUGAGUAUAAAGCACUACAGGCGUCAAAAGAAACUCUAGCAGUCCAAAAUGAACCCAACCAAGAUUUGGAUGCUACUCAGGAAUCCCACCUUCUCAUAUCAGCAGACAAACAAGAUCAAGACCAAGAAGCUAUCCAUUUUCAGUCAACAAAGAGCAUCAAUGAUAAUGAAUUUACAAACAAUCAACCUAUUGUACGACACAUGUCUAUUACUGGGAAGAUCAGAAACGUAACAUUCUUGGCCAAACUAAAGGGUUUUCUUCAUCUGAUUGGGGAAGAACUAAUUACACCUCCUACCAUUGCAGCAGUAAAUUAUAAUCUGAUGAUUCAUUUGCAAUCUUCUACUAUCUUGUACAGCUAAUUCAGUUCUAGUUAAUAGGUUAUAGGGCUCAUCUUCGGAGCAGUUACGUUGCUGAAAAACCAAUUUAAUUUAAUAUCUCAUACUAUUGGUUCAUGAUAGGGUUAGAAUUAUUUAAGGUUUUGGAAUUAUAUAUUUUGGGAUUUUACGUGUCACUAUAAAUCUUAGAUUUUAUAUGAAAAUUUGUUGAAGUGAAAUGAACAGCAUCACUAAAGAAUUUAAACACGAUGGCAGGUGACAUUUUGGCCUGUUUUUAGGGCACUAUAGGUUUUGAUUGGGAUUAAGUUUCCUUCCUUUGAAAAGUACAACUCUGAAUGACGAUGGAAAUGCGGUGUUAAGUGUUCCACUCUAUUUUUAUACGUUGUGAUAUGUACCAGUUUUAGAGAUUGUUGUUCUGCACCUAUGGCAGUUGCAUUUUCGCCGAGUUGACAUGUUUACAUCUUGAGUUAGCCUUAGGCUUAUACUAUUAAUUUUUAGAGAUUUCUCCAACGGUUCCAGUUUGACAUUAACUGCUACAACACGAUAUUUAUAGGUUGUAAUUAAGAGUUAGAUCAGUUUGUAAUGUUCUGUUUAGGUCGGUUUCGGUUGAAUUAUUCUGUUUUUCUGACUUCACUUCUAUGUGCUUAAGAUGAAUUGUUAUGUAAAUUAGUAUCAAUUUAUAAGCUUGCAGAGGUAGCUCUCUUUAAUUUUAGUCUUCUUGAUAAAUCAUUAUUGAAGUAAUUGUAUCUAAUUUUAUGAUCCCAUAACUCGUAAGUCAAGCCUAAUUCAUGACUAUAUGGGUUCACAAUGCAUUUUUAUUUCAACUUAAAGCUUAUAAAAUGCGGUGUUAAGUUCCCCACUCUGUUUUCAUACGUUGUGAUAUACACCAAUUUUAGAGAUUGUUGUUCUGCACCUUUGGCAGUUGCGAUUUCGGCGGGUUGACAUGUUUACAUCUUGAGUUAGCCUUAGGCUUCUACCGUUAAUUUUUAGAGAUUUCUCCAACGGUUCCAGUUUGACAUUAAGUGUUAUAGCACGAUAUUUAUAGGUUGUAAUUAAGAGUUAGAUCAGUUUGUAAUGUUCUGUUUAGGUCAGUUUCGGUUGAAUUGUUCUGUUUUUCUGACUUCACUUAUAUGUGCUUAAGAUGAAUUGUUAUGUAAAUUAAUAUCAAUUUAUAAGCUUGCAGAGGUAGCUCUCUUUAAUUUUAGUCUCCUUGAUAAAUCAUUAUUGAAGUAAUUGUAUCUAAUUUUAUGAUCCCAUAACUCAUAAGUCAAGCCUAAUUCAUGACUAUAUGGGUUCACGAUGCAUUUUAAUUUCAACUUAAAACUUAUAAAAUGCAAAGACGUUCAGUUAAAUAAUGUUCCAUCUGAAAUGUGUAACUAUGAAUCUUUGCAGGUUCAAGAUUAUAGAGAAGUCUGGUCCCUUUCAGUUACUCAGACCAAUGCUGGAAGUUAUUAAGCAAGAGCAAAACAUUAAGCAAGAGAAGGCAUAGAUUGUUAUGUGAGUUCCGUGCUUGUUUUGUUUUAUUCUUAUAUGCUCAUAGUUGUAAACAAUUGUUGUAUGAGAUUUGUGCUGCACAUAACUUAGGAAUCCUCUUUAAGUUUCUAAGCGGAUGUUGUAUUCCACAAAACUUAGGAAUUUUCUUAAGUAGUUGUUGAAAGGUUGUCCACUGUGUAAUAUAAUUUAUGUGGAUUGAAUGAAAGGCUCU